Molecule: long non-coding RNA, 656 nt
Organism: Gambusia affinis (western mosquitofish)
Lineage: Eukaryota; Metazoa; Chordata; Actinopteri; Cyprinodontiformes; Poeciliidae
Exons: 4
Source: RefSeq, a predicted model, not a curated record
UGCUGCCACACACCUGGCUUAAUUAAGCACGUAAUCAAGACGCAGGUAACGCGGUCAUUUGAGCCAGGUGUGUUAUUGUAGAGACGCGUCUAAAACAUGAAAAACUGCUGUGAGAGAGAAAACGACGCGUUAAUUUUCAAAAGCAGGGAUUUUGCGAGUGCUGAAGAUAAUGCCCAGAUGCUGUCACAUCGUCCUGCCAACCUUAUCCUGAUGGCCUUUACAAACUUCUGAUGAGAAAAUGACGUUUCCCCACAGAAGUUCAAACAGGGAAACAUUUGCCGACACACCACCUGGAUCCCUGACUGGCAGGUACAUACACGCUGUUCUAUCUGAAAAAUUCGACAAAUGGCUGUCCAUCUCCAGUGGUGAAAGGACACUGCUGCCUGGUUGAUACUUGAGCUAAGAAGGAGGGGGAGCUUCUUCUGUUUUUGGAGGAGCAGGGACAAGAUUCAAAGGCCUGACAAUCAGAUGCUGUGGAGUAGAACAACAACAACUAUUUUGGGUACAAGAGCGUCUCACCAAACAGCGAUUUGACUGAAGACGGUACAGAGACUCUGCUUAUAAACACGUUAUAAGAGAGAGUCGGAGGAGAUGAAAAGUGGCGGGUGAGCCUGCAGGCGUUCCAAUCAAGACGAACAGAGGAGAAGCGAUGUAUU